This 292-nucleotide ribosomal RNA is filed under the name uncultured bacterium. RNAcentral describes it as "partial 16S ribosomal RNA". It matches the Rfam family "Bacterial small subunit ribosomal RNA", at positions 505 to 796 of the family's 1533-position model. The record is from RNAcentral.
GUGCCAGCCGCCGCGGUAAUACAGAGGUCUCAAGCGUUGUUCGGAUUCAUUGGGCGUAAAGGGUGCGUAGGUGGCGCUGUAAGUCAGGUGUGAAAUUUCGGAGCUUAACUCCGAAACUGCAUUUGAUACUGCGGUGCUUGAGGACUGGAGAGGAGACUGGAAUUCACGGUGUAGCAGUGAAAUGCGUAGAGAUCGUGAGGAAGACCAGUGGCGAAGGCGGGUCUCUGGACAGUUCCUGACACUGAGGCACGAAGGCCAGGGGAGCAAACGGGAUUAGAUACCCCCGUAGUCC